UUACCUCAGUAACGGCGAGUGAAGCGGUAAGAGCUCAAAUUUGAAAGCUGGCUCCUUCGGGGUCCGCAUUGUAAUUUGCAGAGGAUGUUUCGGGAGCAGCCCCCAUCUAAGUGUCCUGGAACGGACCGUCAUAGAGGGUGAGAAUCCCGUAUGGGAUGGGGUGUCUGCGCCCAUGUGAAACUCCUUCGACGAGUCGAGUUGUUUGGGAAUGCAGCUCUAAAUGGGUGGUAAAUUUCAUCUAAAGCUAAAUAUUGGCCGGAGACCGAUAGCGCACAAGUAGAGUGAUCGAAAGAUGAAAAGCACUUUGAAAAGAGAGUUAAAAAGCACGUGAAAUUGUUGAAAGGGAAGCGCUUGCGAUCAGACUCGCCUUGGGGGUUCAGCCGGCAUUCGUGCCGGUGUACUUCCCCCAGGGCGGGCCAGCGUCGGUUUGGGUGGCCGGUCAAAGGCCCUUGGAAUGUAACGCCUCUCGGGGCGUCUUAUAGCCAAGGGUGCCAUGCGGCCUACCUGGACCGAGGAACGCGCUUCGGCUCGGACGCUGGCAUAAUGGUCGUAAGCGACCCGUCUUGAAACACGGACCAAGGAGUCUAACAUCUACGCGAGUGUUCGGGUGUCAAACCCGUGCGCGCAGUGAAAGCGAACGGAGGUGGGAACCCUUUGGGUGCACCAUCGACCGAUCCUGAUGUCUUCGGAUGGAUUUGAGUAAGAGCGUAGCUGUUGGGACCCGAAAG
This 728-nucleotide ribosomal RNA is filed under the name Penicillium sp. JA15. Its description in RNAcentral is "eukaryotic LSU rRNA". It matches the Rfam family "Eukaryotic large subunit ribosomal RNA", at positions 75 to 822 of the family's 3401-position model. Lineage: Eukaryota; Fungi; Ascomycota; Eurotiomycetes; Eurotiales; Aspergillaceae. The record is from RNAcentral.